RNAcentral lists this transfer RNA (68 nucleotides) under Mytilus californianus (California mussel). RNAcentral describes it as "tRNA-Trp". Lineage: Eukaryota; Metazoa; Mollusca; Bivalvia; Mytilida; Mytilidae. The record is from RNAcentral.
AAGAAAGUAAUUUAAUAAAAAAUAUUUUGCUUCAAACUUAAAUAUGAGCACACACAGCUUCUUUCUUG